GUUUAUGGGCAUACCAACUUGAAUAUGUCUGAUCUCAUCUAUCUCAGAAGCUAAGCAGAGUAGGGCCUGGGUAGUAUCUGGAUGGGUGACAAACACACUGCUCUAUAAAUU
This 111-nucleotide ribosomal RNA is filed under the name Chinchilla lanigera (long-tailed chinchilla). Lineage: Eukaryota; Metazoa; Chordata; Mammalia; Rodentia; Chinchillidae. The record is from RNAcentral.